CCUACGGGCGGCUGCAGUGGGGAACAUUGCACAAUGGGCGCAAGCCUGAUGCAGCCAUGCCGCGUGUGUGAAGAAGGCCUUCGGGUUGUAAAGCACUUUCAGCGGGGAGGAAGGCGGUGAGGUUAAUAACCUCAUCGAUUGACGUUACCCGCAGAAGAAGCACCGGCUAACUCCGUGCCAGCAGCCGCGGUAAUACGGAGGGUGCAAGCGUUAAUCGGAAUUACUGGGCGUAAAGCGCACGCAGGCGGUCUGUCAAGUCGGAUGUGAAAUCCCCGGGCUCAACCUGGGAACUGCAUUCGAAACUGGCAGGCUAGAGUCUUGUAGAGGGGGGUAGAAUGCCAGGUGUAGCGGUGAAAUGCGUAGAGAUCUGGAGGAAUACCGGUGGCGAAGGCGGCCCCCUGGACAAAGACUGACGCUCAGGUGCGAAAGCGUGGGGAGCAAACAGGAUUAGAUACCCUUGUAGUC
RNAcentral lists this ribosomal RNA (465 nucleotides) under uncultured Klebsiella sp. Its description in RNAcentral is "bacterial SSU rRNA". It matches the Rfam family "Bacterial small subunit ribosomal RNA", at positions 338 to 795 of the family's 1533-position model. Lineage: Bacteria; Pseudomonadati; Pseudomonadota; Gammaproteobacteria; Enterobacterales; Enterobacteriaceae. The record is from RNAcentral.